GAUGAACGCUGGCGGCGUGCUUAACACAUGCAAGUCGAACGGGAAUUACUUUAUUGAAACUUCGGUCGAUUUAAUUUAAUUCUAGUGGCGGACGGGUGAGUAACGCGUGGGUAACCUGCCUUAUACAGGGGGAUAACAGUCAGAAAUGGCUGCUAAUACCGCAUAAGCGCACAGAGCUGCAUGGCUCGGUGUGAAAAAGUCCGGUGGUAUAAGAUGGACCCGCGUUGGAUUAGCUUGUUGGUGGGGUAACGGCCCACCAAGGCGACGAUCCAUAGACGGCCUGUGAGGGAGAACGGACACACUGGGAGUAAGCAGCGGUCCAGAAUCCUACGGGAAGCAGCAGUGGGGAAUAUAGCACAAUGGGGGGAGCCCUGAUGCAGCGACGCCGGGUGAAGGAAGAAGUAUCUCGGUAUGUAAAGUUCUAUAAGAAGGGAAGAUAGUGACGGUACCUGACGAAGAAGCACCGGCUAACUACGUG
Molecule: ribosomal RNA, 478 nt
Filed under: uncultured bacterium
Lineage: Bacteria
Description: partial 16S ribosomal RNA
Rfam family: Bacterial small subunit ribosomal RNA
Source: RNAcentral